RNAcentral lists this ribosomal RNA (112 nucleotides) under uncultured eukaryote. Its description in RNAcentral is "partial small subunit ribosomal RNA". It matches the Rfam family "Eukaryotic small subunit ribosomal RNA", at positions 1676 to 1785 of the family's 1831-position model. The record is from RNAcentral.
UCGCUACUACCGAUUGAAUGGCUUAGUGAGCCUGAGGGAUUGAUGCAGUUUGUGGGAUUUCCUACUUUCAGUAUCGAGAACUCAGUCAAACUUGAUCAUUUAGAGGAAGUAA